AUUGAACGCUGGCGGCAGGCCUAACACAUGCAAGUCGAACGAGUGGCGGACGGGUGAGUAAUGUCUGGGAAACUGCCUGAUGGAGGGGGAUAACUACUGGAAACGGUAGCUAAUACCGCAUACCAUCAGAUGUGACCAGAUGGGAUUAGCGUGUGGGUUGGGUAACGGCUCACCAAGGCGACGCUCCCUAGCUGGUCUGAGGGGGUGACCAGCCACACUGCAACUGAUACACGGUCCAGACUCCUACGGAAGGUAGCAGUUGGGAAUAUUGGCCAAUUGGCGAAGGCCGGAUACAUCCAUGGCGGGUGUAUGAAGAGGGCGUUCGGGUUUUAAAGUACUUUCGGCGGGGUGGCGUUGCCCUCAGGAGAAGCACCGGCUAACUCCGUGCCAGCCGCCGCGGUAAUUC
This 406-nucleotide ribosomal RNA is filed under the name uncultured bacterium. RNAcentral's name for it is "partial 16S ribosomal RNA". It matches the Rfam family "Bacterial small subunit ribosomal RNA", at positions 30 to 526 of the family's 1533-position model. The record is from RNAcentral.